Molecule: ribosomal RNA, 206 nt
Filed under: uncultured bacterium
Lineage: Bacteria
Description: partial 16S ribosomal RNA
Rfam family: Bacterial small subunit ribosomal RNA
Source: RNAcentral
ACGCUCGACACCUACUGGAGGCAGCAGUGGGGGAUAUUGCACAAUGGGGGAAACCCUGAUGCAGCAACGCCGCGUGAGGGAAGACGGUUUUCGGAUUGUAAACCUACUGUCAUCGGUGACGAUAAUGACGGUAGCCGAUGAGGAAGCUCCGGCUAACUACGUGCCGCAGCCGCCGGUAAGUACUGAGGCGGGCGUGGCGAAGGACG